Molecule: ribosomal RNA, 253 nt
Filed under: uncultured bacterium
Lineage: Bacteria
Description: partial 16S ribosomal RNA
Rfam family: Bacterial small subunit ribosomal RNA
Source: RNAcentral
GACAGAGGGGGCAAGCGUUGUCCGGAUUCAUUGGGCGUAAAGGGUGCGUAGGUGGCGGGGUAAGUCAGGUGUGAAAUUUCGGAGCUCAACUCCGAAACUGCAUUUGAUACUGCCUUGCUUGAGGACUGGAGAGGAGACUGGAAUUCACGGUGUAGCAGUGAAAUGCGUAGAUAUCGUGAGGAAGACCAGUGGCGAAGGCGGGUCUCUGGACAGAUCCUGACACUGAGGCACGAAGGCCAGGGGAGCAAACGGG